This is a long non-coding RNA of Gopherus flavomarginatus (Mexican gopher tortoise), 1000 nucleotides long. RefSeq lists it as uncharacterized. Lineage: Eukaryota; Metazoa; Chordata; Testudines; Testudinidae. The record is from RefSeq and is a predicted model, not a curated record. The transcript has 3 exons.
UCAACCAGCAUUCCUAGCCUUUGCGCCCUACCUGUCUUCUUCUCCCUUAAACACCUCUAUGCUUUCUUCUAGGGCUGCUCCUUGUGCAUUGGAAAAAUUCCCUGAUAAAAUCCAAGCAGCCAUGACCUCAUCUUCCAUCAACUCCCUCUUCUGCUAUGAAGAUUAUAAAACCCACCCUGACGAUCACGGCUGGGCAGUUGACAGACAAGCACACAGCACAAUGGGGCCUGAGUCUGAUUGGAAUUUUGGGGUGCUACCAGAAAGAAUAAUAUGGGCAGCUGGACUGAUAUUUCCUUGGCAAUUACAACACUACACCCUAGGACCAAGUUAAAUGCAAGAAAUGAGUUUAUGGGCACUAUCCAUCAUACAAAAUAGCUGGGAAGCACAGAAAAGGGAGAGAUAGAUACCAUGUCAUCCCAUCUGCCCUACUGUAUAGUAUGGACACCUUCAUCUAGAAUCUGGCAAAUAGAAUCAAAUUAUAAUUAUUCUUUUGAACAACACACUACACAUUCAAUUAUUUAUGUAUUUAGUUUUAAAUAAUAUUUUUUUAAAAUGCCGAUCCAAAUCUCUAGAAGCCCUAACACAUCAUUCAUAAUACAAUCAAAUCACAGUAGCAUUGAACUAAUUAUUUCAACAGGCAUGCAACUAGCCAGCCACUUACAGAAACUCCUUUGCACCUCUCCUUCUUGGUGGGCAACAUACCCUCAGACUUCUCCAAAAAUCUUAUCAAAGAGAUGUUUGUUGCAGCAGGAGGAUACCAAAUUUAAAACAUUUAUAUAGAUAACUUUAGUAUCAUUGUGGUGGGGCAAGUGCCCCACAGAGGGAGAAGAAGGGGUUAAAAAGCAGCACCAGGGAGGCUGCACAGAACCCAUGAAUCAGGAAAGGGUUUAUUGAGCCCACCAAUAGGGGGAAGGCUUGCUGGAGCAGCAGUCAUGAUCGGCAAGGACCAUAUAUAAAGGGAUGCUCAGCAGAGCACAAGGGAGUCUUUCCCUGGAAGGCA